Molecule: ribosomal RNA, 463 nt
Filed under: uncultured Pseudomonadota bacterium
Lineage: Bacteria; Pseudomonadati; Pseudomonadota
Description: bacterial SSU rRNA
Rfam family: Bacterial small subunit ribosomal RNA
Source: RNAcentral
UGGGGAAUAUUGGACAAUGGGCGAAAGCCUGAUCCAGCGACGCCGCGUGGGUGAUGAAGGCCUUCGGGUUGUAAAGCCCUGUGGGCAGGGAAGAAAACGUUGCAGUCAAAUAGGCUGCGACCUUGACGGUACCUGCUCAGAAAGCACCGGCUAACUCUGUGCCAGCAGCCGCGGUAAGACAGAGGGUGCAAACGUUGCUCGGAAUUACUGGGCGUAAAGCGCGUGUAGGCUGACCGGAAAGUCGGGCGUGAAAUCCCUGGGCUCAACCCAGGAACUGCACUCGAAACUCCCGGUCUUGAGUGGUGGAGAGGGAAGUGGAAUUCCUGGUGUAGAGGUGAAAUUCGUAGAUAUCAGGAGGAACACCAGUGGCGAAGGCGGCUUCCUGGACACCAACUGACGCUGAGACGCGAAAGCGUGGGGAGCAAACAGGAUUAGAUACCCUGGUAGUCCACGCUGUAAACGA